Molecule: long non-coding RNA, 1474 nt
Filed under: Cyanistes caeruleus (blue tit)
Lineage: Eukaryota; Metazoa; Chordata; Aves; Passeriformes; Paridae
Description: lncRNA (ENSCCEG00000009462.1)
Source: RNAcentral
AUGUGCAGCUCAUCUUCUCACAGAGCUUUAUCCUGCGGGAGCGGAAAGCAAACGAGAACGGCUCUAACAACUGCCCGUGGAUACGGGCACCAAAACCCAGCUCCAGCAGCUGAAGGGUUCAGACCCUCUCAGCCUGUGGGGCCCACAGGGACCCCCGGCAUGGCAAAGCCAGCAGCUAUCAUGCUGGAAUUCAUAAACAGAAAAGCUGUAUGUGAGACACAUGCCCUGCUACUUCAGCCUCGGCUGGAGUCCUGCAUCCAAGUUUGGGCACUGCUCAUCAAGAAAGUCAGGCCCCAACUGGCGAGAGCCCAGAGGGCAGCAAAAGGAGUGACCAGGGACGCAGAAAGCAGCCUCUGAGGAGAGGUGGAGGAAAGUGGGCCAGCUCAUGGAAACAGAAGGCAGAGCAGAGAUGGGGGAAGAGCUUUCCCUUCAUAAAAAGCUUCCCUAGAAGACAGCAGUGGUUUGUGCUCUUGUCUGCUGGGAACUGGACAAAGUAUGGUAGGAUGGGAGAAUUAGGAUGAUUGUCAGAAAAAAAAGUGUAAAGCCCUGGAGUAGUUAACCCAAGGAGAAUAGGGAGUCAUUAAGGCAUCAUUAAGGCAUCAUUAAGGCAUCAUCAGAAAAAGAUCCUUAAGCACCUGUCAGGAUGGUCUAGACAUACUGAUCCUGGCUUGGUACAGGAGGAUGGAUUAGGGUACAUCUCCAUCUCCCUUCCUGCCAUGCUGUGGUUGUUCUGUGAGAACCUCAGGUGUGCAUUAGUUACACACCCAGCAGCCACCUGCAGCACUGGGAGUCAUCUUGGCUGCAGUGACCACAGUUGGGGCUGGUAUUUCAGAAGGUUCCUGGGGUUUUCAGUGUCCCCUGGGCCCACCUCGUGCCUCACACUCAGCACUUCUCAGCCUGCCUUUCCAUGGCCACACCAGCCUGGGGGCUCCGUGGCCCAGCAGCAGCACUCACAGGGUCUCUGCUCCAGUGGUUACCUUCAACUACAAAUCCUGUUAUUAAUCUAUGACCCCUCUUAGAAAUGGCUGUAAUGCAGCAGCACCUCCCUGCAGCCCAUCAGUUCCUACUUUCCAAAGCUGCUUCUGCUAAACAGUGUUGCCUGUUCUGGAAUUAAGAGCACGUUAACAGCAACAUGUCAGUCCCAAGGGGGUGGCUGCUGAGCAGCAGGGCAGCUUGAAUCCCAACUGAUUUGAAUGGCAAAUAUUUAAAAAAUCCAAAAUUGAUAAUAGAAAAAAAAAGAGAAAAUGAAGAGUUUCUGGUAACCAAAACAGGCAGAAGAGGAGCACCAGCCCAGAACCGCUGCAUCAUCCAGCUACACCCACACAUCAGCUUUGCAGCAUGUCCUCUGCUCCAGUCACUUCUUCUAAUUCACCUUGAACUGCUGCCACGGCUGAAGGAAACUUAGGAGAAACAGGAGAAGCCAGAAAAGCACAGGGCCUACAUUGCCCUAAAAAUAAACACCCAAAAGCACUCA